Equus caballus (horse) is the source of this 3115-nucleotide long non-coding RNA. The record is from Ensembl. Lineage: Eukaryota; Metazoa; Chordata; Mammalia; Perissodactyla; Equidae.
AUGAAAGAUUAUCCUAGAUAAAGAAAACUUUGAAAAGAUUGGAUUUGUUUCUAUAUUCUGAGUUUAAGGAAUACUUAAUUUAUAGAAAUGCUUAUUUAUUUCUAAGGAUUUUUUAAUAGAACUCCUUUAAGAGAUUUUAUAAAUUAAUUUAGUAAUAUAAUUCAGAAGUAGAAAAUGCCAUAUAUACAAAACAUACAUACAUACAUAAACUUACAGACAGAGGCAAAAGGAGAUCUUUUUUUUAAAAAAUUUUAUUUUUCCUUUUUCUGCCCAAAGCUCCCCAGUACAUAGUUGUGUAUUUUUAGCUGUGAGUCCUUCUAGUUGUGGCAUGUGGGAUCCUGCCUCAGCAUGGCUUGAUGAGUGGUGCCAUGUCUGCACCCAGGAUCUGAAGUGGCAAAACCCUGGGCCACUGAAGCAGAGCGCAUGAACUUAAUCACUUGGCCAUGGGACCAGCCCCACAAAAGGAGAUCUUAUAGCAUUCUUUCUAAAAUGUUAGCCAUGAAUCAGUAAGAGAUAGCAAAAUAAUCUCACUAGUUUAUCUCCAGUUUAUAAUUUUAUUUAAAUUAUGUUUCUGGCAAAUGGGCAAGUAAGGUUAUAUGUUUACCCAUCUUUGUGGAGGUAACUGUUAAGAGAUUGUCUUUUGUCCUGACACAGAAUCUGAUGGAUGCCGUGGAGUAAAUAUUAGGCCAGUGACUGAGGAGACAUCUAGCUCUGUCUGGAUAACUCCAAAACCCAUCAGAGGAAAGGAAUUAUCCAUUUCUGUUUCCAAAUACGACUUUUUCUCUUUUCAGGCUUAGGUGGUGGAUUUGGGGGAUCUCUUAGUCUCUUUAGAGUCCCUAAUAGAGCAUUAGGGGGCCUAAAGUUCAAGUGACUGUAGUACCUGAGGUGCUGAGAUGGGAAGGGAUAGUCUGACUGGUGGACAGAGGGUUGGUGGAGGUAUAGGUUUGAAGGAAACCAUAUCAAAGGAUUAAGGGAACUGGAGGGAAUAUCCAAAUCACUAAAAUGAGGAAGGAGGAGCAGAGAUGAUGGAAAGCAAGAGAUUUUAGAAGAGUCAUUGGAGAGAUCAUAAGUUUCCCAAAGAGUCCAUUGAUGUUUUAAAUUAUCGUUAGUAAAAUCCUGAGAAGAAGAAAGGAAGUAGACAGAGUUGGCAGAGCAUACAGUCAGCAGGGAUUCAACAAAGGGGUUUCAUUCCACCAAGACUUCCAUAUUGUUAACAGGUGGUACUAUAGACCUAGCUACAGAGAAACUUGGGACUUUAACACAGCUUGUUCUCCAACAUGGUUAAAUAGAGAAAAAACUAAGACUCUAACCCUCUUCUGUUCAAUAUGGGCUAUAACUAAGCCAUACAGUAUACACCAAAUCUUAUGAAUCAAAAUCUGUUCCUACCAGCUUCAGGGGACAAUUGUCUGGACCAAUGAUUUAGGGGUUGGAUUCAUCAAAUUAUCCCUGAUCAGUCAGUCAGACGUGAAGACAAAGUCUUCAAAGAUGCACACUUAGAGUUCUGGGGGAGUGGUCCAGAACUCCAAUGAUGAAUUUAAUCUAUCCAAAUUGUCAUUGUAACUAUUAAAGAAAAACUACCACUUUAAAGAGGGAACACAGAUUUUAUUCAGGACUGUUGAAAUAAGGGGAAAAAAGAAUAUAGGAACAAGCUCAAUCGCCAAAAGAACUUUGGAAAAUGGAAAUUUAUCAUCAGGGAACCAGGUGGCAUAUAGUGGAUGAAAAUUAACUAUGAGGAAACAUCAUGGUUCAGGGGGAUUCUGGAAAAAUGACUUAACAGGGUUCUUGCUGAGGAUAGGCUAGAUUGAAAGGACAUCACCUGUGGAUGGUGGAGGAUGAGAAUCUUGAUUGAGUAUCAAGGGUGAUUAGACCUUGAGGAUUAGAGGCCAUUCUUAGACUGAUUUAACAGGGUUCGUGCAAGCAAUUUUGCAAGAAAGUAUUCAGAUGAUCUUAGAAGAAGCUUCAGGAAUUUGACUACAAUUUGGUGAAAGAAGGAAGCUGUGUCACUACCAAAGGAAAACUGGAAAACUUUACAAUAGAGGAUAUGUAGGAGAAGGAUAAACAUCACCGAAGGAUUUUAACUCCUUUUUUGGGGUAGAGGUUAGUGUGUUUUUGGCAGUAUGCAGCACACUUCUAUCAUGUUAAGUAGAAUUGUGACCUCAUUAUUAUCUUUAGUUAAAGAUGAAUAUGGUUUAAAGUGAUGUGUAUAGGUGGCAAGGUCAUAAGGGAUGGACCUGUGGUGGUUAAUUUUGUUUCAACUAGACUGAGUUAAGAAAUUUACAGAUAGUUGGUAAAGUUUUAUUUCUAAUUGUGUCUGUGAGGGUUUUCAGAAUGGAUUAGCAUUUGAUUAAGUAGACUGAGUAAAGAGAUUUGCUCUUACCACUGUGGUAGAGCAUCAUCCAGUUGGAAUAAAGGGCCACAAUACAACAAAAAGGGAAAGGAAGGGCAAAUUUCCUUUUUUUAAAAUUAAGAUUGGCAUCAGAGCUAACAGCUGUUGCCAAUAAUUUUUUUCUUCUUCUCCCCAAAGCCCCCAGUACCUAAUUGUAUAUUCUAGCAGUAUGUUCCUCUGGUUGUGCUACGUGGCCUGCACCUCAGCAUGGCCUGAUGAGCGGUGCUGUGUCCGUGCCCAGGGUCCAAACCAGAGAAACCCUGGGCUGUUGAAGCGGAGCACGAGAAAUUAACCACUCAGACAUGGGCUAGCCCCAGGAAGGGCAAAUUUCUUCUCCUUUCCUAGAGCAUGGAUGUCCAUCUUUUCCUGUGUUUAGACGUCAGAGUUCCUGGGUUUUGGGCCUUUGAGACUUAUACUAACUACCCCCUAGUUCUCAGGUCUUUGGCAUGAGACUAGUAGUUAUACGUUAGCUUGCCUGGUUCUCAGGCCAUUGGACUCAGACUUAAUUAUACCGCUGUCUUUUCUUGUUCUACAUUGAGAAGAUGGCAUUUUAUGAGACUUCUGUCCUCCGUAAUAUGUUUCUAUGAUAAAUGUUUUCUUAUAUAUACCUACAUAUCUAUCUAUUUAUUUUUUGUAAGUUCUGCUUUUCUAUUUAUACUGACUAAUAUAGAUUUUGGAAUGGAUAGUGGUUCUACAGAACAGAAUUCUAAAUAUAGGCUUUACGAAUUG